Molecule: ribosomal RNA, 604 nt
Filed under: uncultured Atheliaceae
Lineage: Eukaryota; Fungi; Basidiomycota; Agaricomycetes; Atheliales; Atheliaceae
Description: eukaryotic LSU rRNA
Rfam family: 5.8S ribosomal RNA (bases 222-376)
Source: RNAcentral
AGAGUAAAAGUCGUACAAGGUUCCGUAGGUGAACCUGCGGAAGGAUCAUUAUUGAAUUAUAAGCGAGGGUUGUAGCUGGCCUCCCUUUCGAGGCAUGUGCACGCCCGAGCCCUUAAAUCCACAACACACCUGUGAACCCACCGUAGGCCUUCGGGCUUAUGUAUCAUAUACUCUGAAYGUGUCAUAGAAUGUUCAUAUUGCCUUAAAACGCAAUCAAAUACAACUUUCAACAACGGAUCUCUUGGCUCUCGCAUCGAUGAAGAACGCAGCGAAAUGCGAUAAGUAAUGUGAAUUGCAGAUUUUCAGUGAAUCAUCGAAUCUUUGAACGCACCUUGCGCUCCUUGGUAUUCCGAGGAGCAUGCCUGUUUGAGUGUCAUUAAAUCCUCAACCCCACCGAUUUGUUUCGGGGGGAUUGGACUUGGAGCGUGCUGGCGAAGGUCGGCUCCUCUUUAAAUGCAUCAGUGGAGAGAAACUUGCCCCAGUGUGAUAAUCCUGUUGCGCUGUGGUAGGUGGAAAGUCCGCUUCUAACCGUCCUUCACGGGGACAAACAUCUCAAUUUGACCUCAAAUCAGGUAGGACUACCCGCUGAACUUAAGCAUAUCAU